RNAcentral lists this ribosomal RNA (384 nucleotides) under Veillonella parvula. RNAcentral's name for it is "bacterial SSU rRNA". It matches the Rfam family "Bacterial small subunit ribosomal RNA", at positions 28 to 389 of the family's 1533-position model. The record is from RNAcentral. Lineage: Bacteria; Bacillati; Bacillota; Negativicutes; Veillonellales; Veillonellaceae.
GACGAACGCUGGCGGCGUGCUUAACACAUGCAAGUCGAACGAAGAGCGAUGGAAGCUUGCUUCUAUCAAUCUUAGUGGCAAACGGGUGAGUAACGCGUAAUCAACCUGCCCUUCAGAGGGGGACAACAGUUGGAAACGACUGCUAAUACCGCAUACGAUCUAAUCUCGGCAUCGAGGAUAGAUGAAAGGUGGCCUCUACAUGUAAGCUAUCACUGAAGGAGGGGAUUGCGUCUGAUUAGCUAGUUGGAGGGGUAACGGCCCACCAAGGCGAUGAUCAGUAGCCGGUCUGAGAGGAUGAACGGCCACAUUGGGACUGAGACACGGCCCAGACUCCUACGGGAGGCAGCAGUGGGGAAUCUUCCGCAAUGGACGAAAGUCUGACGG